Molecule: long non-coding RNA, 247 nt
Filed under: Brachypodium distachyon (stiff brome)
Lineage: Eukaryota; Viridiplantae; Streptophyta; Magnoliopsida; Poales; Poaceae
Description: long non-coding RNA (BDIS_LNC006057)
Source: RNAcentral
AUAUAAUUUGUUCAUAUGCAACCAAGGACAUCAAAUCAAUGCCACUCCUGUAGUGUUGAACUUGAAUGCAUGGCCCAGUUUGUAAUACUAAAUGAUGCUUAGUUUCCUGUAAAAGAAAGUGGAUCAUAAUACAUGCUUAGUUCGCUAAUCAGCAACGAAAGAUAUAAGUUGAGGUGCUCAGGCCUGCAACCUUGUUCUCCUAACAUGCAUGCAUUUCAUCGAACAACUGAACUGUCAGCCAACAUAC